UGCCUUACACAUGCAAGUCGAACGGUAACAGGUCUUCGGAUGCUGACGAGUGGCGAACGGGUGAGUAAUACAUCGGAACGUGCCCGAUCGUGGGGGAUAACGCAGCGAAAGCUGUGCUAAUACCGCAUACGAUCUACGGAUGAAAGCGGGGGAUCGCAAGACCUCGCGCGGACGGAGCGGCCGAUGGCAGAUUAGGUAGUUGGUGGGAUAAAAGCUUACCAAGCCGACGAUCUGUAGCUGGUCUGAGAGGACGACCAGCCACACUGGGACUGAGACACGGCCCAGACUCCUACGGGAGGCAGCAGUGGGGAAUUUUGGACAAUGGGCGCAAGCCUGAUCCAGCCAUGCCGCGUGCAGGAUGAAGGCCUUCGGGUUGUAAACUGCUUUUGUACGGAACGAAAAAGUUCUCUCUAAUACAGGGGGCGAAUGACGGUACCGUAAGAAUAAGCACCGGCUA
This 457-nucleotide ribosomal RNA is filed under the name uncultured bacterium. RNAcentral's name for it is "bacterial SSU rRNA". It matches the Rfam family "Bacterial small subunit ribosomal RNA", at positions 45 to 499 of the family's 1533-position model. The record is from RNAcentral.